This 497-nucleotide ribosomal RNA is filed under the name uncultured bacterium. RNAcentral's name for it is "partial 16S ribosomal RNA". It matches the Rfam family "Bacterial small subunit ribosomal RNA", at positions 28 to 507 of the family's 1533-position model. The record is from RNAcentral.
GAUGAACGCUGGCGGCGUGCCUAAUACAUGCAAGUCGAACGAUCAGGCGAGGAGCUUGCUCUUCUUGGGUGAGCUGCGAACGGGUGAGUAACGCGUAGGUAACCUGCCUGGUAGCGGGGGAUAACUUUUGGAAACGAUAGCUAAUACCGCAUAAAAUGGUUUAUCGCAUGAUUCUACAUUGAAAGGUGCACUUGCUUCACCACAAGGUGGAAUUCGGGUGUAUUUGCCUAUUGGUGAAGUAAAGGGCUUACCAAGGGAACGAACCGUACCAGACCUGAGAGGGUGAUCGGCCAACCUGGAACUGAACCACGGUCCAGACUCCUCGGGGAGGAACAGGAGGGGAACUUCCGGAAAUGGGCGAAAGCUUGACGGAGAAACGCCGCGUGAGUGAGGAAGGUUUUCGGUUCGUAAACCUCUGUGAUUAGGGAAGAAGAAAUGUGUAAGGAAAUAUGCACGCUUUGACGGUACCUAACCAGAAAGCGACGGCUAACUACGUG